This 464-nucleotide ribosomal RNA is filed under the name uncultured bacterium. RNAcentral's name for it is "partial 16S ribosomal RNA". It matches the Rfam family "Bacterial small subunit ribosomal RNA", at positions 339 to 795 of the family's 1533-position model. The record is from RNAcentral.
CUACGGGCGGCACCAGUGGGGAAUAUUGCACAAUGGGCGCAAGCCUGAUGCAGCCAUGCCGCGUGUAUGAAGAAGGCCUUCGGGUUGUAAAGUACUUUCAGCGGGGAGGAAGGGAGUAAAGUUAAUACCUUUGCUCAUUGACGUUACCCGCAGAAGAAGCACCGGCUAACUCCGUGCCAGCAGCCGCGGUAAUACGGAGGGUGCAAGCGUUAAUCGGAAUUACUGGGCGUAAAGCGCACGCAGGCGGUUUGUUAAGUCAGAUGUGAAAUCUCCGGGCUCAACCUGGGAACUGCAUCUGAUACUGGCAAGCUUGAGUCUCGUAGAGGGGGGUAGAAUUCCAGGUGUAGCGGUGAAAUGCGUAGAGAUCUGGAGGAAUACCGGUGGCGAAGGCGGCCCCCUGGACGAAGACUGACGCUCAGGUGCGAAAGCGUGGGGAGCAAACAGGAUUAGAUACCCUCGUAGUC